CCAUGAAUAUGCCACAAGCAAAUAACUUAAAAUAAUAUACGCGAUACACAAGAGACGAGCACAAACCGAAUACGACAGAUUCAUGGCAGAAGAAGAAGUGCACGCAGUAUUCUCUGAAUCCUGUGAACUUCCUGCUGACAGCAAUGCGCUCAACAGGAAGUGGCUGCACAGAUGGAACAGGUGUGGCGUCUAGGCGCCGUCCUUGCGUUGCUAGGGCUUUUUGUACAAAUCAGCACUUGGAUACACAAAGGCCGGUGCGAAGCUGAUGCCAGUCCAAAAAAAAUAGGGUAAUUGUCAGGAAGCAGGAGGAUGAGCAUUCGCCACAGUGUAUGGAAGGAGGGCGGGCGUGAUCCCAGACUGAGUCGUAGAGUGGUGCCCAGCAAGGGGUCUAAGUCAUCCCACCCCCAAAAAAACCCCUCUGCUCACUUACUCCCCUCAGGAGGUCACCACACUGCACCCCCUCGCAAACAAGUGCUCACUCCAUGUGCC
This is a long non-coding RNA of Brienomyrus brachyistius, 489 nucleotides long. RefSeq lists it as uncharacterized. Lineage: Eukaryota; Metazoa; Chordata; Actinopteri; Osteoglossiformes; Mormyridae. The transcript is spliced from 3 exons. The record is from RefSeq and is a predicted model, not a curated record.